This 460-nucleotide ribosomal RNA is filed under the name uncultured bacterium. RNAcentral describes it as "partial 16S ribosomal RNA". It matches the Rfam family "Bacterial small subunit ribosomal RNA", at positions 338 to 795 of the family's 1533-position model. The record is from RNAcentral.
CCUACGGGUGGCAGCAGUGAGGAAUAUUGGUCAAUGGGCGCGAGCCUGAACCAGCCAAGUAGCGUGAAGGAUGACUGCCCUACGGGUUGUAACCUUCUUUUAUAAAGGAAUAAAGUGAGGCACGUGUGCCUUUUUGUAUGUACUUUAUGAAUAAGGAUCUGCUAACUCUGUGCCAGCAGCCGCGGUAAUACGGAGGAUCCGAGCGUUAUCCGGAUUUAUUGGGUUUAAAGGGAACUUAUAUGGGUUGUUAAGUCAGUUGUGAAUGUUUGCGGCUCAACCUUAAAAUUUCAAUUGAUACUGGCAGUCUUGAGUACAGUUGAGGUAGGCGGAAUUCGUGGUGUAGCGGUGAAAUGCUUAUAUAUCACGAAGAACUCCGAUUGCGAAGGCAGCUUACUAAACUGCCACUGACAUUGAUGCUCGAAAGUGUGGGUAUCAAACAGGAUUAGAUACCCUAGUAGUC